This 497-nucleotide ribosomal RNA is filed under the name uncultured bacterium. RNAcentral's name for it is "partial 16S ribosomal RNA". It matches the Rfam family "Bacterial small subunit ribosomal RNA", at positions 28 to 507 of the family's 1533-position model. The record is from RNAcentral.
GAUGAACGCUGGCGGCGUGCCUAAUACAUGCAAGUCGAGCGAACAGAUGAGGAGCUUGCUCCUCUGACGUUAGCGGCGGACGGGUGAGUAACACGUGGAUAACCUACCUAUAAGACUGGGAUAACUUCGGGAAACCGGAGCUAAUACCGGAUAAUAUAUUGAACCGCAUGGUUCAAUAGUGAAAGACGGUUUUGCUGUCACUUAUAGAUGGAUCCGCGCCGCAUUAGCUAGUUGGUAAGGUAACGGCUUACCAAGGCAACGAUGCGUAGCCGACCUGAGGGGGUGAUCGGCCACACUGGAACUGAGACACGGUCCAGACUCCUACGGGAGGCAGCAGUAGGGAAUCUUCCGCAAAGGGCGAAAGCCUGACGGAGCAACGCCGCGUGAGUGAUGAAGGUCUUCGGAUCGUAAAACUCUGUUAUUAGGGAAGAACAAAUGUGUAAGUAACUAUGCACGUCUUGACGGUACCUAAUCAGAAAGCCACGGCUAACUACGUG